GCCUGCAACAGUAAGAGCUGUUUGUCUACGAACCGAAUGCAUUUCCGUCUCAGACGGUGAAGCGGAGAAAGGCGUGCUGAUGACUGAUGGUGUCACAACAUGUCUUGACCCGAGGAAGGGGUCAGGUGUGUAAGAGAUAGAGACUCUGUCGGCAGAUUUCGGCUUCGUUACAGAGUUUGUGCUCUUCUAGAGAAGGCGACACGUGAGCAGAAUUCCCCCCUGCAUCACAAGGCCCGGCUGUGACUGCCCCAGGCGGAGCAACACGACCUCUCUGUGCGGGCUGCUAGUGGUCUGUACAAGCAGACAGGUGGCUGCUCCAGUGACAAAUGAACCUUCCCCUGCCCCGUGCAGGAUCUCCCCGACUGUUAUUGCUGAGAGCAGCCGAGGUGGGUGUUGCUGUGGAGGAGCUGAGGCAUGGCAGAUGCUACCAGAGGAGCAGAUUGUACGAGCUGGGUGUCGUGUGCUGAUUUGUCAUGCUCUGUCACAUCCUCCGCGGCCUUCCUGCCACAGCAAAGACAGCGAUUUGAUCACCGCUUCUCUUCUCUCCACACACUGCGAAAAACAAGCUCCGACUGAAUGGACAGAAUCGCAGCUAACAAACAUCAGAAGGGUAUCUUAGUACGGCUCCCAGCUCGUGUUGCUGUUGGGAAGGACAGUAUCACAGCAAAGACAGUGGAAAGAAGGAAAGAUGUAAACAGAGUGUCUCCAGAACAGUAACAGGGAAACACUUCACAGGUACCACUGUCCUGUGGACCACCUCUUACAUGGUGAAUAUCUAAUAAUCCACGCAGCAUGUUUCAAAAACCAUGUUGUUGCAAUGUACUCAUAAGCCUACCUCAUGAACUACGUACAUAAAGAGAGAUUCAGAGCAAUACUGUCACUCUGAUCAAUGAAUUAUUAUUGGAUGUUUCCAGCAGUAUUAUUUCUCACAAUGUUAUACAACAUUUCUUCAGUUUCAGUUUUGCAUUUAUGAAGUGUUUCGCUUAUGCUGCUGAUGGUAAAA
Molecule: long non-coding RNA, 1003 nt
Organism: Lepisosteus oculatus (spotted gar)
Lineage: Eukaryota; Metazoa; Chordata; Actinopteri; Semionotiformes; Lepisosteidae
Source: RefSeq, a predicted model, not a curated record